Molecule: ribosomal RNA, 253 nt
Filed under: uncultured bacterium
Lineage: Bacteria
Description: partial 16S ribosomal RNA
Rfam family: Bacterial small subunit ribosomal RNA
Source: RNAcentral
UACAGAGGGGGCAAGCGUUGUUCGGAAUCAUUGGGCGUAAAGAGUAUGUAGGCGGCUAUUUAAGUCAGGCGUGCAAGCCCACGGCUCAACCGUGGAAUUGCGUUUGAAACUAUUUAGCUUGAGUACAGGAGAGGAAGGCGGAAUUCCCAGUGUAGCGGUGAAAUGCAUUGAUAUUGGGAAGAACACCGGUGGCGAAGGCGGCCUUCUGGUCUGAUACUGACGCUGAGAUACGAAAGCCAGGGGAGCGAACGGG